Molecule: long non-coding RNA, 1041 nt
Filed under: Carassius auratus (goldfish)
Lineage: Eukaryota; Metazoa; Chordata; Actinopteri; Cypriniformes; Cyprinidae
Description: lncRNA (ENSCARG00000048936.1)
Source: RNAcentral
AAAUGAGCCACCAAUACUGUGAUUAAAAAUUAUCCUUGAUGUAUUUAUGGGCAUGACUUGUGAUCAAGCCCCUUAACCUUGAGAAAGGGUUGUUAUGUGAAGGGUAUCAGUUACUGGAGUUCAGACAUUGUUUGGGUCUUAUGUGUAGCACAAUCUUCUUCAAGUGCCUUGGCACUACAUUAGAGCCCAGUUUAGCUGUGGAGAAGCUCUCAAAUGUCACUAGGAUACUGUUCCCAGAAGCCUUGGAAGCUUUUUGUGUGAUAAAGGAGCAAAUUUGAGCAAAGCAGUUGUCAUUCUGUGAACUUUACAUAUGGUGACACUCAUGCUAAAGGCCAGCCGCAAUCUGGCACAAUAACGCUGCAUUGCUGUGUAGACAAACCUAUGAAAAAUACUGAGAUGUGUUUGAAGAAAUUAGUCAUUUAUCUUUCUCUUUUAGACAUCCUAAUAAGGUGAAUAAUGGAAAUGUCUAAUACAUUAGACAUGUAGCAGGUAAACACUUUAAAUCAUCUGGUUUCAUUUGGUUCUUAUUUGGACUAAAAGCUAGCUUUGUUUUUGGCCAUGCAUUUUAUUUAUCUUCUCCUAUCUCUCUGCUUCUUGUCAAGGUUGGCAGCCAAUGAAUUUGCCCUCUCCACAUCAAUCAUGAGGUCCUCUACUUCACCCUGCAGUCUCUGUUUGGUCUUUUCCAGAGAGGCACACUUGGAGUUCACCGCUUCAAUGGAUUCUUCAGCAUCCUGCAGACGCUGGGCAAGCUUUUUCCUGAAGAGAGUGAUAUUAAAUGAUGAAAUAUUACUAAUAUUUGUGAAAUUAAAUGUAGUGUGCUGGAGACAUUGUUAUUUACUUGGAUUCCUCAAGCUCCUCAGUUCGCUGGAUUGCAUCAGUCUCAUAUUUGGUUCUCCAUUGAGCCACCUCACUGUUGGCCUUAGACAUUCCCCGCUGGAGUUCAGCUUUGGCCUCCUGCUCCUCCUCAUACUGCUCUCUGAGCAAGUCACAGUCAUGACGGGCAGACUGAACCGCAUGGGCCAGAGCAUUCUUGGCCUGUAA